Molecule: microRNA, 22 nt
Filed under: Schistosoma japonicum
Lineage: Eukaryota; Metazoa; Platyhelminthes; Trematoda; Strigeidida; Schistosomatidae
Also listed under: 1 other name
Description: sja-miR-61
Gene: sja-miR-61
Source: miRBase by way of RNAcentral
UGACUAGAAAGUGCACUCACUU